RNAcentral lists this long non-coding RNA (5708 nucleotides) under Vitis vinifera (wine grape). RNAcentral's name for it is "long non-coding RNA (VVIN_LNC002472)". Lineage: Eukaryota; Viridiplantae; Streptophyta; Magnoliopsida; Vitales; Vitaceae. The record is from RNAcentral.
UCAUGGCAUACAUUUAAAAAAGAGUAUGCCUGCUUAAGUCCAAGUCAUUUCUGCCAAAAGUAAAAUUAAAGUUCUACUCAAGUAGUUUGAAAGUAUGUUUCAACUUAUACAAUGAAAAUAACAUAUUUCACAAGCAUAUGAAACAGACCUCUUUUCCAUGUUUGCCUCGGUAGCAAUCUAAAAUGGGUUCCUCUAGAAAGCCUCUCUUCUGAAAACAGGAUUUCCAAUUCAUGAUAUUUCUCUAUUUCAGUCAGUGCCUCAAUGCAUGUAAUGAAUUUUAUAUAGGAAUUUAAUUAAAGAACUUUGAUAUAGAUUUAAGAGACAUGCAUCUUCCAUCUAAAAAUGUCAAUUACACAUUGGAUCAGUACCUGGAGCGUUAGCUAAUGUAAAGAAAAAGGAUAUGAACUCUGCAGUUUACUGGGUGGUGUAAACCAUGAGUAGGAUCCUGCAGGUUUACCAGUUCUGGCGGGACAUCAAUUUUGCACAGGCUUCCACAGUAUUUAGCAAGCAUUCAUCUGAGCCAUUCUGCAAAAUAGAAAGUGAAAUAGUUAGGACUCUCUUCCUUUUCCUUUCCCUUUCCGUUAGUUCUCUUAGCAACCAGAGGGUAGAAUUGAAUGAAGGAAAUGGCAAACACACCAGAUGAAAAUGGAAAGUUACCUGGCACUUGAAGUGUUUGUCCCUCUGUCAGCUCAGCAUUGGCCCAGGGAAGCAGCCUGAGAUGGUAAUUGGAAUGAUUUCACUUACAUAGGUACUUGUCAGGUCAUCAAUGAUGAACUGAAUACAACUAGGACAAAGAGUUUCAUGGUACAAAGUCAUAUUAAUUUUGUCAGGAUCAUCUAAUGAAGAUUAAGGUGGAGAUAUGAACAAGAGCAGCAGAAAAGUAAAAAGAAAGCAAGAGAAUAGUUGAGGUGAAUAAGCCAUUUCUCAGAGCUUAGUAAUGGUAAGCCCCUAUAUUGUGUUAGAAUUCAUGAGAGUUUGCCUUUGAAAAUGUCUUAGUUAGACUCAGUCUCUGUUUUGCUCCAUAAUUUUCAGUUUUUCUGUUAGUAGAAGUAGUCAUAGCAGUUGAGAGUUUUUAGCAUUUUUCAGUUUGGUUGUAAGCCUAUAAAUAGGCAUUCUCAUUGGUGAAAUAUAGUGUGCCUUUCUCCAACUUAGUACUCUAAUAUUUUCUGCAAGUUUUAGUUCCUUAUUUUUUCUCCAGAUUUUAACAGUGGUAUCAGAGCAUUAUUCCUACGGGCUGUGAGGCAAAGUUUUUGAGUGUUUUUAGUAUUAAACACAGUGAGGUUGAGUGCAAACACUAGUGAGGUUGAGUGAUCUAUUUUUUAAGCAACUGUGGUGCAAACAUGUCUCCUUCUAGCAAUACUUCCUCUGUAAUUCCAGUGUUUAAUGGUGAGCACUAUCACAUUUGGGCUGUCAAGAUGAGGUUUUAUUUAAGGUCUCAAGGUUUGUGGAAUGUUGUGAUGUCUGAAGAUGAUCCACCACCAUUGGGAGCAAAUCCUACAGUUGCUCAGAUGAAAGCAUAUGAGGAAGAAAAACUCAAAAAAGACAAAGCCAUCACUUGCCUACAUUCAGGACUUGCAGACCACAUCUUCACCAAAAUCAUGAACUUGGAAACACCUAAACAGGUAUGGGACAAGCUCUAAGGGAAUUUGAGGGCAGUGAAAGAGUCAAAACUGUUAGACUCCUCACAUUGAAGAGAGAGUUUGAGUUGAUGAAGAUGAAAGACGACGAAUCUGUCAAAGAUUAUUCUGGCAGGUUAAUGGAUGUUGUAAACCAAAUGCGGCUUCUUGGUGAGGCAUUUACAGAUCAAAAGGUGGUAGAAAAAAUCAUGGUUUCAGUGCCUCAAAAGUUUGAAGCCAAGAUUUCUGCAAUUGAAGAGUCUUGUGACUUGCAAACUCUCACAAUUGUAGAGUUAACCAGCAAGCUUCAUGCACAGGAGCAAAGGGUCUUAAUGAGAGGUGAUAAAGCUACUGAAGGUGCUUUUCAAGCAAAUCACAAGGGAAAGAAUUCUGGAAACUUGCAAGGAAAGAAGUUCUUCAAGAACAACAAAGGGAAAGUUGAAGGGUUUUCAAGAAAAGGAAAAUUUCCAUCUUGCUUUCAUUGUAGAAGAACCAACCAUGCUGAGAAAGAUUGUUGGAACAAAGGUAAACCUCUCUUUAAUUGUAAUUUUUGCAAUAAACUUUGCCACAGUGAGAAGUAUUGCAGAGCCAAGAAAAAACAAUCUCAACAGCAACCAGAAAAAAAUGCAAGUGUGAUUGAAGAAAACAAAAAUGAUGAUGAGCAUUUAUUUAUGGCAUCACAAACACUCAGUUCUCAUGAACUGAAUACUUGGCUCAUUGACAGUGGCUGCACGAGUCACAUGACCAAAUAUCUGUCAAUAUUUACCUCCAUUGAUAGAUCAGUUCAACCAAAGGUCAAGUUGGGAAAUGGUGAAGUUGUGCAGGCCAAAGGAAAAGGGACAAUUGCUAUCAGCACCAAGAGAGGUACAAAAAUUGUCACUAAUGUUCUUUACAUUCCAGAUUUAGAUCAGAAUCUUCUUAGUGUUGCACAAAUGCUAAGAAAUGGAUAUGCAGUCUCUUUCAAAGAAAAUUUUUGUUUUAUCACUAAUGUACAAGAAAAAGAGAUAGCAAAAAUUAAAAUGAAUGGAAAUAUCUUUUAUUUGAAGCUUGAUUUAGUUGAAGGUCAUGUCUUUAGUGCCAAGAUUGAUGAGAGUGUUGUUUGGCACAAAAGCUAUGGUCAUUUCAACUUGAAGUCAUUGAGGUUCAUGCAAGAAGCUGGUAUGGUUGAAGACAUGCUUGAAAUCUCAGUUAAUGCUCAAACUUGUGAAAGUUGUGAGCUAGGGAAGCAACAACGACAACCAUUCCCUCAAAAUAUGUCCAAGAGAGCUACUCACGAGCUUGAAUUAAUUCAUUCAUAUAUUUGUGGACCAAUGAGCAUAGCCUCAUUGAGCAACAAUGUGUAUUUUGCAUUAUUUAUUGAUGAUCUCAGCAGAAUGACUUGGGUUUAUUUUCUAAAAACCAAGUCACAAGUGCUCUCUAUGUUCAAAAGCUUCAAGAAAAUGGUUGAAACUCAAAGUGGCCAGAACGUUAAGGUGCUCAUAAUUGAUAAUGGAGGUGAGUAUAUCUCAAAAGAGUUCAACGUCUUUUGUCAAGAAGCUGGAAUUGUACACUAGCUAACAGCUCCAUACUUACCACAGCAGAAUGAAGUCUCUGAGAGGAAGAACAAAACCGUGAUGGAGAUGGCAAGGUGCAUGCUAUUCGAGAAGAGGCUACCAAAACUUCUAUGGGCUGAAGCAGUCAACACCUCAGUAUAUUUGCUUAACAGACUGCCAACUAAGUCUGUUCAGAGCAAAACACCAAUAGAGGCAUGGUUUGGUGUAAAACCUUCUGUCAAGCACCUGAAAGUUUUUGGCUCAUUGUGUUAUCUUCAUGUGCCAUCUGUCAAGAGAGGGAAGCUUGAUGAAAGAGCUGAGAAAGGUGUCUUUGUUGGGUAUGCAGCUGAAUCAAAAGGUUACAGAAUUUAUAGCUUGAGUAGAAUGAAAAUCGUGAUAAGUAGAGAUGUGCACUUUGAUGAAAACUCCUACUGGAAUUGGGACUUGAAGAAAGUUCAUAAAUGUGAUCAAAACACUCCAUCUAUUCUUGAACCAGCAAUAGAAAGUAUAAUCAUUGAAGGUCCACUUGAUGUUGAAGCAACUUCAGACACACCCAUGCUUAAGAUGAGGCCAUUAUCUGAUGUGUAUGAGAGGUGCAAUCUUGUACAUGCUGAGCCUACAUGUUACACGGAAGCUGCAAGAUUUCUAGAAUGGAUUAAGGCCAUGAAAGCUGAAAUUGAUGCUAUUGAAAGAAAUGGAACCUGGAAGUUGACAGAACUACCUGAAGCUAAGAAUGCAAUUGGUGUAAAAUGGGUUUUCAGAACCAAAUUUAAUUCAGAUGGUUCAAUCUUCAGGCACAAGGCUAGAUUGGUUGUGAAGGGUUUUGCUCAAGUUGCUAGAGUGGACUAUGGUGAUACAUUUGCACUAGUAGCCAAACAUGACACUAUAAGGCUACUACUUGCACUUGCUAGUCAAAUGGGAUGGAAAGUGUACCAUUUAAAUGUCAAGUCAGCUUUUCUAAAUGGUAUACUUCUUGAAGAAAUUUAUGUUCAACAACCAGAAGGCUUUGAGGUUAUUGGCCAUGAACAUAAAGUGUACAAGCUACAUAAGGCUGUCUAUGGUUUGAAGCAAGCACCAAGGGCCUGGUAUAGCAGAAUUGAUUCUCAUCUGAUCCAACUUGGAUUUAGGAGGAGUGAAAAUGAAGCUACUUUGUAUUUGAAACAAAAUGAUGAUGGUUUGCAACUGGUAGUAUCACUUUAUGUUGAUGACAUGCUAGUGACUGGAAGCAAUGUAAAAUUGCUAGCUGAUUUCAAAAUGGAAAUGCAGGAUGUAUUUGAGAUGUCUGACCUUGGCAUCAUGAACUACUUCCUUGGAAUGGAAAUAUACCAAUGCAGCUGGGGUAUCUUCAUUUCACAAAGAAAAUAUGCUAUGGAUAUUCUCAAGAAAUUCAAGCUAGAAUCAUGCAAAGAAGUAGCAACUCCGCUGGCACAAAAUGAGAAAAUUUCAAAGAAUGAUGGUGAGAAACUUGAGGAACCCUUUGCAUAUAGAAGCUUGGUGGGCAGCCAACUAUACUUGACAGUAACCAGACCUGACUUGAUGUUUCCAGCUAGUUUGCUUUCAAGGUUCUUGAGUUCACCUAGCAAUGUUCACAUGGGAGUUGCAAAGAGGGUGCUAAAGUUUGUUAAAGGUACAACAAAUCUUGGCAUUUGGUAGUUAAAGACAGGAGGAGUUAAGCUAGAUGGUUAUGCUGAUAGUGAUUGGGCAGGAAGUGUUGAUGAUAUGAAGAGCACUUCAGGUUAUGUAUUUACAAUCGGUUCAGGUGUCAUAUGCUGGAAUUCAAGAAAGCAAGAAGUAGUGGCACAAUCAACUAUAGAAGCUGAGUAUAUCUCCUUAGCAGCUGCUGCAAAUCAAGCAAUAUGGUUGAGAAAAUUGCUUGCUGAUUUAGGCCAGGAACAAAGCUCACCAACUGAGCUUUACUGUGACAAUAAGUCAGCCAUUUCCAUUACUUAAAAUCCUGUCCAACAUGGCAGAACCAAGCACAUAAAUGUAAAAUUCCACUCCAUAAGGGAAGCUGAAACGAAUUCACUUGUUAAGCUGCAUUAUUGCUCAACUGAUGAGCAACUUGCUGACAUAAUGACUAAAGGACUUCCUAAAUCAAGGCUGGAGUUCCUAAGGUUGAAGCUUGGUAUGUCUAAGGCAAAUCUCAAGGAGGAGUGUUAGAAUUCAUGAGAGUUUGCCUUUGAAAAUGUCUUAGUUAGACUCAGUCUCUGUUUUGCUCCAUAAUUUUCAGUUUUUCUGUUAGUAGAAGUAGUCAUAGUAGCUGAGAGUUUUUAGCAUUUUUCAGUUUGGUUGUAAGCCUAUAAAUAGGCAUUCUCAUUGGUGAAAUAUAGUGUGCCUUUCUCCAACUUAGUACUCUAAUAUUUUCUGCAAGUUUUAGUUCCUUAUUUUUUCUCCAGAUUUUAACAUAUUGUAUGCAUACACAUAGGCUUCUCACAAUGUGAAUCACUUCCAAUUUGCUUAAUGAAACUACAAUUUCAGUCUCUUCUCUUUCUCAGAAAUUAAUUAUGCUUUACGAAAACUGUGACAACUAUGCUUUUAAAUUACUCUUCUUGGAUUGUUA